This is a long non-coding RNA of Ctenopharyngodon idella (grass carp), 1119 nucleotides long. RefSeq lists it as uncharacterized. NCBI's taxonomy places the organism in Eukaryota, Metazoa, Chordata, Actinopteri, Cypriniformes, Xenocyprididae. The transcript is spliced from 3 exons. The record is from RefSeq and is a predicted model, not a curated record.
CAGACAUGCUGCCAACACGCGCGAGACUCGAGCACGAUUCCUCAGACUUGAGACAGAGAAGAAAAGACGACUGAGCCAAUCAGAGUAAAAGGCGCCGCCCCAAGUUCAGCCCCGCCCCGAUCUGCAGGCUGCAGCCAGGUGUACUUGGCCAGAGAGGGGGUGGUGGAAGUGAAGCUCCACCCUUUAGCUCAAGCGGCACGAGCCCAACUUCUACAUCCCUCGACAUGGCCACCACGCAAAUCGAGUGACCUGCAUUCACUGGUGACAGCAAGCUAACAGCCUGUGGGCGUCUGAGUGCAAACCUCCAGCAAUCUUACGUACGUCUCAAGCCAUCUGGACCCCUGUUCACUGCCAAGUUAUGUAAGUCUGAAAAAGAACAUGGCGUCUAUCCCAAACACUGAGCUCAACGCCAUCUGAGAUGACAUUUCACUAUCAACUCCCCUCAACACACAUUCAUCAAUACACAGUAUGGAAAGAAGUCAGAAACAGAAAGCUUAUGGUCAACGCAAAUUUUCACUUUUGUAUCUGGACCUAUACGGCUAUGUCUGAUGAAUAAACAUGAAACAUUUCUUUUAAGAAAGCAAUGAAAAUAUGCUGUUUUGGAGCGAUCAGGCACAAUUUACAUGAAAAUUACUAAUACUGGGAAGGAACCGGUUCACACAUUUAGUUUCAUCGUCUCACACUGACGUCCAUACUUUUAUUUAGUUAUAUACACAUAUUUGCACACCAUAUUGAGUUAAUGGGCUUUAAUCGGUUACAAAAAUCACUAUUUAUGUUAAAAUAGAAAUAUUUGUCAUCUCUCUAUGGUGUUUGCAGUGAUGUGCUUUCAGACCGAGGUAAAACCCUCUGAACUUCACAUUUUGCCAGGUAUUAUUGUCGGGUAGAGUGAGGGAUUCACUCAGCUGGCUCUACCCCGCUUUAAAGAACCUCCAUCUGUAAGAUUCAGAUUCAGUUUCAUUAUGGAGGUAACAUAAUAAAGUCAAUGAUUUUAGGACCUGCAAAAUGGUUUUAGUAGCUGGAAAGAAAAAAAAAAAGAUCAGUGAUUGUCAAAUAGUAGCUUAUACACGUUUCAAUAACAUUACAAAAAUGGCACAAUAUUUAGCAUAAACAUUUAUAGAG